UCUGAGAACUGGAAUUGUCAGACUUUGUUUCAGAGCUAUCGUUACAGUAUAUAAGCCAAUAUAAAUCAAGUAAUUGCCAUUGUUGUCUUUCUAGAAGGACCUCACUAGAGAUAUAUGCACUUACAUGGGAUAGUUGUGAAUAAACUUAAGCCAGAUGGAUUUUUAAGGUCCCAGCUGACCAAAUGACGGGAAACAUGAUCUUAUCUCUGUGAAAGGAGGAUCCAGGGAACUACAGGCCUGUCGGCCUGACCUCAGUGCCGGGAAAGUCGUGGAGCAGAUUAUCCUGAGUGCCAUCAUGCAAGAUGUGCAGGACAAUCAGGGGAUCAGGCCCCUCCAGCAUGGGUUUAGAAAAGGCAACUAAAGACACACGUGAGGAAAAUGAAGAGUCCAAGAUCAUUUUUCAGUAAGGCAAUAUAUGUAUUAUUGUUUGAAAUUCAUGCCUCAAACUAUAUGUAGAAGUCAUCAUCACUGUAGAAGACAAAUAUCCUUGACCAUGAAGGAAAGAUUUAAUCUCCAAAAUGUAUGGGGUUUUUGUCCUAAAUCAGAUGUCAGCUGCAGUUCUUCUUAUUUACCCAUUGUCCAUUAGUUCCUAGUAAUUCAGUCUGUAUGAAAUCAUUUUCUUUGAAGUCUUUUGCCAACUCAUUAAAUGUUCUAAACUUUCCAGUACAUGGAUUUAUGAGCAAUUAAGAAUUUCUCAGACUCAGUAGUCAGGAAAUAUAGCUCAUUAUCUGUUGCAAAGGCAUUUGGCCAAUUUAAGGAGAUUCUUCAAUUGAAAAAAUGUUGUUUCCUAACAGUGUUACCCAGUUUCUUGCUUUUCAGAUAUUUUGUCCCAAACAUUUUCUUUCACACCCUACAAUGUCUCUAAUCUGAACAGCUCUUCCAUUGAAAAAAAUUGCUAUAUUUUACCUAGCUGUUUUCAAACGGUAAAUUUACUGAUCUCGUCUAAAGGCUCUGAUAUAAUGGGUGGAAAAACUCCAUUGUCUGAAUGCAGGUCUUGAGACAUAUAUUCAGACAAAUGUUUUACCUUAUUGCCCUUUUCUCCUUAUUCCUGGCAAUAUAUACACAGUAUGUUUGUGCUAACGUAUUUUCUCCAAAAUCCAAGGUCCUGCAGUUCCUUCUGCCAACUCUGCCAUUUAUUCGAAAUCUCUAUUCUUAAAUGGCAAUUUUCACUUUAGACCUACAGGAAAUGUAUCUGAGUGUGUCACUAUAUAAAGUUAGAUUUUCUGAAUCUUUCAUCUUCUACCCCUUGGAUAAUUUUCCUACUUGUGUUAAAGUAGCGUCAUUUCUGUUGAAAGACUGCUCUUUUUGAAAUUUGUCACCAGGUGGUUCUCUAAACUUUAUUAGCAGUUUCUAGCAGUACCUUUUAUUUACUGGACAAUUCUUCAAUGCUUUAAGUUGCUGGUGGUGUUAGCAAAGCAAUCACACAAGCAGUUUUGAAAGAUCUAUUAUCUGGGUGCAAUUUUUUGUGAAUGGACUUGCUGCUCAGACUAUGUUCAGUGCUGUUUGUAAAAGCAUCACAAAAAAACAGUGUCUGAGUUAAGACCUGUACAAAACCAUUUAAGUAAUGCUAGAGUCCAGCCAGGGCCAGCUCUCAGCUCUCUGAUAUGAGCAAAAGAUGAAGUCAUGGUGCAGAGCAAAUCACAUGUGCUACUUGGUCACGCACAAAUCUCAGUAACGUCAUUCAUGUACAGAAGUGCUUGCAGUUUCAAAUCCGAUUCAUGGUGAAAGUAUUUACUAUGCUUAUCCUCAGUUCUAGGUAAAAAUCUCAGACAUCUUUAGGAAAAAAAGUGAAACCCCCCCAACUUCUCUUUGGCUUAAAACAAAUCACAAUUAACCAAUUUAUUAAACUAUUUUCUUCGGUGCUUCCUGAACAGAAUUUCUGGUUCUUUGUAACCCUUAAACUACUGCCUGCCUGAGUCUUCUUUAGAAGGUUGGUGAAAAAUGUCGUUGUAUUUAUUUCCAGAAUGUGUUUUAAACUGUUGACUAGUACCUACACUUUAACUUUUUCCAACACCAUGCCAGACCACCUUAGGCUUCCCCAAAUCUACAGGUAUCUGUAUGCAAGAUGUAGCUAUAACCUUUUACUAAAAGCCAUCAAAUUUUUAAUUUCAUCAGAGUUGCAUUGUGCACAGGCAGCUAAUCACUAUUAAAUUAAUAAAUAAAUAAAGAGAGGAAAAUAAAAUACAUUUAGUCUAUUUAUAGACAAACGUCCAAAACAAAAAAGGAACAAAAAGAUUUCACGGUUUAUUUUCCUUCUCUAUACGUGACAAGGAGCCUGCCUUCUGUCACAAACAGCUCCUACUUCUAAAGGCUAUUGAUAGGAAAUAUUAACAGCAUUUUACCACUCUUCUUGAUAGUAUUGUCAUACAUAUAUCAUAUAUACAUACUGAC
Pipra filicauda (Wire-tailed manakin) is the source of this 2391-nucleotide long non-coding RNA. RefSeq lists it as uncharacterized. The record is from RefSeq and is a predicted model, not a curated record. The transcript has 3 exons. Lineage: Eukaryota; Metazoa; Chordata; Aves; Passeriformes; Pipridae.